CCUCUGGCGCAGUCCUCACGCAAACGGUCUCUGCCUGCCCUGGAGGCAGGCUCCUGCCCACCCGGCUAGGGCAGAAAUCCUUCCUCUUUCAUUCUCGAUUUCAGAGCCCAGAGGUUUUGCGUUAAGACCCAGUUGCCAGAGCCACCUUCUGGCCUCAUCAUCUUGGAUUUCGUUUAAAAAGAAAUAUCAGUUUUACUGACUGUUGCAAACCACAGCAUAUAGACCUAGUACAAAGCUUUUCCUUUUCUGCAGGAGCCAUACCUACAUUUUGUACACAUAGAACAGCGAGUUGGCAACAGAUCUGCUGUGAAAGUUGUGAUCCUUUAAAGGACAUAUAAUCUGCUGUGCUUUUCAAAACUCCAAAAUAGACUUAUCCCCUUGAACUUCUUUGCAAGAGUUAAAAGACAAAGUGGCAGAAGAAUGCUUUCGGACUUCCAAAUUAAAAGUUGUCGCAUGAAGUUGGUAUCCGAGCUGAGAGAUGGUGGCUAUGUAUAAAUACAGAAGACUAUUUUGGCUUU
This 518-nucleotide long non-coding RNA is filed under the name Dromaius novaehollandiae (emu). RNAcentral describes it as "lncRNA (ENSDNVG00000016993.1)". Lineage: Eukaryota; Metazoa; Chordata; Aves; Casuariiformes; Dromaiidae. The record is from RNAcentral.